Molecule: long non-coding RNA, 378 nt
Organism: Aethina tumida (small hive beetle)
Lineage: Eukaryota; Metazoa; Arthropoda; Insecta; Coleoptera; Nitidulidae
Exons: 2
Source: RefSeq, a predicted model, not a curated record
AUCAAUUAAAUCGAUUAUAUUGGUUAUCAAUAAAGUUAAUUAGAACAUUUGAUUUGGAAAAUGGAUCGUGUCUCAAAGUCGCCUCGUCUCCCGACGAUAUUUUAGCCGAAAUUAAAUUAGACAACAGUACUUGCCGUUAAUAGGUUAUAAAGUCAAUUUAUUUGAAAUCUCACGUACAGACAAUUUCUUCGUGCAAUACAGAAAAACAGAUGUAAAGAAGAGAGAACGAGGGAUGCAAAAUAACCCUGUUAAGAAUAAGCAAAGGAUAAUAUGCUAUGCAUACCUAAUGCCCGUGAAAUGUUUUACUCAUAAUUCUAUUACAAACCCGACUGAAAUAUUAUCCUUGAAUAUUUUACACUAAAUAAAGCCUUAUUUUAU